This 253-nucleotide ribosomal RNA is filed under the name uncultured bacterium. RNAcentral's name for it is "partial 16S ribosomal RNA". It matches the Rfam family "Bacterial small subunit ribosomal RNA", at positions 524 to 776 of the family's 1533-position model. The record is from RNAcentral.
GACGAACCGUGCGAACGUUGUUCGGAAUCACUGGGCUUAAAGGGCGCGUAGGCGGCCAGCCAAGUCCGGGGUGAAAGCCCCCGGCUCAACCGGGGAAGGGCCCUGGAUACUGGCUGGCUGGAGGGAGGUAGGGGCAGCUGGAACUUCCGGUGGAGCGGUGAAAUGCGUUGAUAUCGGAAGGAACGCCGGUGGCGAAAGCGAGCUGCUGGCCCUCUUCUGACGCUGAGGCGCGAAAGCCAGGGGAGCGGACGGG